RNAcentral lists this ribosomal RNA (254 nucleotides) under uncultured bacterium. Its description in RNAcentral is "partial 16S ribosomal RNA". It matches the Rfam family "Bacterial small subunit ribosomal RNA", at positions 524 to 776 of the family's 1533-position model. The record is from RNAcentral.
UACUAAGGGGGCUAGCGUUGUUCGGAAUCACUGGGCGUAAAGCGCACGCAGGCGGAUCGUUAAGUCAGGGGUGAAAUGCCGAGGCUCAACCUCGGAACUGCCUUUGAUACUGGCGAUCUUAGAGUCCGGGAGAGGUGAGUGGAACUCCGAGUGUAGAGGUGAAAUUCGUAGAUAUUCGGAAGAACACCAGUGGCGAAGGCGGCUCACUGGCCCGGUACUGACGCUCAGGUGCGAAAGCGUGGGGAGCAAACAGG